RNAcentral lists this ribosomal RNA (138 nucleotides) under uncultured eukaryote. Its description in RNAcentral is "partial 18S ribosomal RNA". It matches the Rfam family "Eukaryotic small subunit ribosomal RNA", at positions 1299 to 1458 of the family's 1831-position model. The record is from RNAcentral.
UGGUGGAGUGAUUUGUCUGCUUAAUUGCGAUAACGAACGAGACCUUAACCUGCUAAAUAGCCAGGCGAGCUUUGGCUCGUCGCCGGCUUCUUAGAGGGACUGUCAGUGUCUAACUGACGGAAGUUUGAGGCAAUAACA